GUUUUGCAUCAAGAACGCUAAUGCGUACCAACCGACACGCUCGUUGCACGGUGGUUUAGAAUGCGGGUAGCUCUACCAAACAAAUCGAGCUAAC
The submitters of this non-coding RNA (94 nucleotides) gave its source as unclassified sequences. The record is from Rfam.